This is a long non-coding RNA of Ornithorhynchus anatinus (platypus), 308 nucleotides long. RefSeq lists it as uncharacterized. Lineage: Eukaryota; Metazoa; Chordata; Mammalia; Monotremata; Ornithorhynchidae. The record is from RefSeq and is a predicted model, not a curated record. The transcript is spliced from 3 exons.
GUUUUAUGUCGCAGCCAUGGAAGCCCUUAAACCCAGGCAAAUGAUUUCAAAUCGAUCUUGCGACUAGACUGAAAUUUCACUGUCGGAACGACAGGUCCGAGGGCUCUCGCCGAAGGUUUCACGAUGUAGGUUCCAGAGAAGAGGAAAUAGUCCUUUACACGGUGGAGGAUGACCACACGUGGAAGUUGCUACGACAAGAAGCCGCGGAGGCCGAACGACACAGGGGAUUUCGAGAAGCGGCGUGGCCACGUGGAUAGAGCUCGGGCCCGGAGAUGAGGCAACUGAGGCCCAGAGAAGUGAAGUGACUU